RNAcentral lists this ribosomal RNA (468 nucleotides) under uncultured bacterium. Its description in RNAcentral is "partial 16S ribosomal RNA". It matches the Rfam family "Bacterial small subunit ribosomal RNA", at positions 28 to 507 of the family's 1533-position model. The record is from RNAcentral.
GACGAACGCUGGCGGCGUGCUUAACACAUGCAAGUCGAACGGAAAGGCCCUGCUUUUGUGGGGUGCUCGAGUGGCGAACGGGUGAGUAACACGUGAGUAACCUGCCCUUGAUUUUGGGAUAACUUCAGGAAACUGGGGCUAAUACCGGAUAGGAGCUCCUGCUGCAUGGUGGGGGUUGGAAAGUUUCGGCGGUUGGGGAUGGACUCGCGGCUUAUCAGCUUGUUGGUGGGGUAGUGGCUUACCAAGGCUUUGACGGGUAGCAGGCCUGUGAGGGUGACCAGCUUCCUUGGGACUGAGAUACGGCUCAGACUCCUACGGGAGGCAGCAGUGGGGAAUAUUGCACAAUGGGCGGAAGCCUGAUGCAGCAACGCCGCGUGCGGGAUGACGGCCUUCGGGUUGUAAACCGCUUUCGCCUGUGACGAAGCGUGAGUGACGGUAAUGGGUAAAGAAGCACCGGCUAACUACGUG